Molecule: unclassified non-coding RNA, 279 nt
Filed under: plant metagenome
Description: partial contains small subunit ribosomal RNA, internal transcribed spacer 1, and 5.8S ribosomal RNA
Source: RNAcentral
UUUCCGUAGGUGAACCUGCGGAAGGAUCAUUAUUGUAUAACCUAUGUGCGAGGUCUUUCGCUGACCCGAAAGGUCUUGCACACGCCAGUGGCCUCACACACAUCCAUCUCACCCCUAUGUUUACCACCGCGUGGGUCCGCCUUUGGCUUGUUCUGAGGAGGGCUUACAUUUACAACCAAACUUUUUAGGCAUUUUGGAACUUAUUUUUUGUUUUUGCGAUGACGCAAUGAAGACAACUUUCAACAACGGAUCUCAUGGCUCUCUCAUCGGUUAACCACC